Molecule: ribosomal RNA, 213 nt
Filed under: uncultured bacterium
Lineage: Bacteria
Description: partial 16S ribosomal RNA
Rfam family: Bacterial small subunit ribosomal RNA
Source: RNAcentral
CAGUUCGGAUUGUAGGCUGCAACUCGCCUACAUGAAGUUGGAAUCGCUAGUAAUCGCGAAUCAGAAUGUCGCGGUGAAUACGUUCCCGGGUCUUGUACACACCGCCCGUCACACCACGAGAGUUUACAACACCCGAAGUCAGUGGCCUAACCGCAAGGAGGGAGCUGCCUAAGGGUGGGGUAGAUGAUUGGGGUGAAGUCGUAACAAGGUAAC